This 1426-nucleotide ribosomal RNA is filed under the name Lactiplantibacillus plantarum. Its description in RNAcentral is "bacterial SSU rRNA". It matches the Rfam family "Bacterial small subunit ribosomal RNA". The record is from RNAcentral. Lineage: Bacteria; Bacillati; Bacillota; Bacilli; Lactobacillales; Lactobacillaceae.
GACGAACGCUGGCGGCGUGCCUAAUACAUGCAAGUCGAACGAACUCUGGUAUUGAUUGGUGCUUGCAUCAUGAUUUACAUUUGAGUGAGUGGCGAACUGGUGAGUAACACGUGGGAAACCUGCCCAGAAGCGGGGGAUAACACCUGGAAACAGAUGCUAAUACCGCAUAACAACUUGGACCGCAUGGUCCGAGCUUGAAAGAUGGCUUCGGCUAUCACUUUUGGAUGGUCCCGCGGCGUAUUAGCUAGAUGGUGGGGUAACGGCUCACCAUGGCAAUGAUACGUAGCCGACCUGAGAGGGUAAUCGGCCACAUUGGGACUGAGACACGGCCCAAACUCCUACGGGAGGCAGCAGUAGGGAAUCUUCCACAAUGGACGAAAGUCUGAUGGAGCAACGCCGCGUGAGUGAAGAAGGGUUUCGGCUCGUAAAACUCUGUUGUUAAAGAAGAACAUAUCUGAGAGUAACUGUUCAGGUAUUGACGGUAUUUAACCAGAAAGCCACGGCUAACUACGUGCCAGCAGCCGCGGUAAUACGUAGGUGGCAAGCGUUGUCCGGAUUUAUUGGGCGUAAAGCGAGCGCAGGCGGUUUUUUAAGUCUGAUGUGAAAGCCUUCGGCUCAACCGAAGAAGUGCAUCGGAAACUGGGAAACUUGAGUGCAGAAGAGGACAGUGGAACUCCAUGUGUAGCGGUGAAAUGCGUAGAUAUAUGGAAGAACACCAGUGGCGAAGGCGGCUGUCUGGUCUGUAACUGACGCUGAGGCUCGAAAGUAUGGGUAGCAAACAGGAUUAGAUACCCUGGUAGUCCAUACCGUAAACGAUGAAUGCUAAGUGUUGGAGGGUUUCCGCCCUUCAGUGCUGCAGCUAACGCAUUAAGCAUUCCGCCUGGGGAGUACGGCCGCAAGGCUGAAACUCAAAGGAAUUGACGGGGGCCCGCACAAGCGGUGGAGCAUGUGGUUUAAUUCGAAGCUACGCGAAGAACCUUACCAGGUCUUGACAUACUAUGCAAAUCUAAGAGAUUAGACGUUCCCUUCGGGGACAUGGAUACAGGUGGUGCAUGGUUGUCGUCAGCUCGUGUCGUGAGAUGUUGGGUUAAGUCCCGCAACGAGCGCAACCCUUAUUAUCAGUUGCCAGCAUUAAGUUGGGCACUCUGGUGAGACUGCCGGUGACAAACCGGAGGAAGGUGGGGAUGACGUCAAAUCAUCAUGCCCCUUAUGACCUGGGCUACACACGUGCUACAAUGGAUGGUACAACGAGUUGCGAACUCGCGAGAGUAAGCUAAUCUCUUAAAGCCAUUCUCAGUUCGGAUUGUAGGCUGCAACUCGCCUACAUGAAGUCGGAAUCGCUAGUAAUCGCGGAUCAGCAUGCCGCGGUGAAUACGUUCCCGGGCCCUUGUACACACCGCCCGUCACACCAUGAGAGUUUGUAACA